GACGAACGCUGGCGGCGCGCUUCAUACAUGCAAGUCGAGCGGGGGUCCAUCGGGGCAAGCCCUGAGAAGACCUAGCGGCGAACGGGUGCGUAACACGUGAGCAACCUGCCCCGAAGACCGGGAUAAGCCGGGGAAACCUGGUCUAAUACCGGAUGUCCUCACCGAGUCGCAUGGCUCGGUGAGGAAAUGUCUUUUCGCUUCGGGAUGGGCUCGCGGCCUAUCAGCUUGNGGUGGGGUAAUGGCCUACCAAGGCGACGACGGGUAGCUGGUCUGAGAGGAUGUCAGCCACACUGGGACUGAGACACGGCCCAGACU
This 315-nucleotide ribosomal RNA is filed under the name uncultured bacterium. RNAcentral's name for it is "bacterial SSU rRNA". It matches the Rfam family "Bacterial small subunit ribosomal RNA", at positions 28 to 337 of the family's 1533-position model. The record is from RNAcentral.